UAAGGAAUAUUGGUCAAUGGACGCAAGUCUGAACCAGCCAUGCCGCGUGAAGGAUGAAGGUCCUCAGGAUUGUAAACUUCUUUUAUCUGGGACGAAAACGGGAUUUUUAUCUCAAUUGACGGUACCAGAGGAAUAAGCACCGGCUAACUCCGUGCCAGCAGCCGCGGUACUACGGAGGGUGCGAGCGUUCUCCGGAUUUACUGGGUUUAAAGGGUGCGUAGGUGGGCUUAUAAGUCAGUGGUGAAAUCUCCGAGCUUAACUUGGAAACUGCCGUUGNUACUAUAGGUCUUGAAUUAUCUGGAGGUAAGCGGAAUAUGUCAUGUAGCGGUGAAAUGCUUAGAUAUGACAUAGAACACCAAUUGCGAAGGCAGCUUACUACAUAUAAAUUGACGCUGAGGCACGAAAGCGUGGGGAUCAAACA
RNAcentral lists this ribosomal RNA (421 nucleotides) under uncultured bacterium. RNAcentral describes it as "bacterial SSU rRNA". It matches the Rfam family "Bacterial small subunit ribosomal RNA", at positions 355 to 774 of the family's 1533-position model. The record is from RNAcentral.